This 1016-nucleotide ribosomal RNA is filed under the name uncultured bacterium. Its description in RNAcentral is "bacterial SSU rRNA". It matches the Rfam family "Bacterial small subunit ribosomal RNA", at positions 357 to 1376 of the family's 1533-position model. The record is from RNAcentral.
AGGAAUAUUGGUCAAUGGACGAGAGCCUGAACCAGCCAAGUAGCGUGAAGGAUGAAGGUCCUACGGAUUGUAAACUUCUUUUAUAAGGGAAUAAACCCUCCCACGUGUGGGAGCUUGUAUGUACCUUAUGAAUAAGCAUCGGCUAACUCCGUGCCAGCAGCCGCGGUAAUACGGAGGAUGCGAGCGUUAUCCGGAUUUAUUGGGUUUAAAGGGAGCGCAGACGGGUCGUUAAGUCAGCUGUGAAAGUUUGGGGCUCAACCUUAAAAUUGCAGUUGAUACUGGCGUCCUUGAGUGCGGUUGAGGUGUGCGGAAUUCGUGGUGUAGCGGUGAAAUGCUUAGAUAUCACGAAGAACUCCGAUUGCGAAGGCAGCACACUAAUCCGUAACUGACGUUCAUGCUCGAAAGUGUGGGUAUCAAACAGGAUUAGAUACCCUGGUAGUCCACACGGUAAACGAUGGAUACUCGCUGUUGGCGAUAUACUGUCAGCGGCUUAGCGAAAGCGUUAAGUAUCCCACCUGGGGAGUACGCCGGCAACGGUGAAACUCAAAGGAAUUGACGGGGGCCCGCACAAGCGGAGGAACAUGUGGUUUAAUUCGAUGAUACGCGAGGAACCUUACCCGGGCUUAAAUUGCAAAGGAAUAAUCUGGAAACAGGUUAGUCUUCGGACCUUUGUGAAGGUGCUGCAUGGUUGUCGUCAGCUCGUGCCGUGAGGUGUCGGCUUAAGUGCCAUAACGAGCGCAACCCUCGCCGCCAGUUACUAACAGUUAAAGCUGAGGACUCUGGCGGGACUGCCAUCGUAAGAUGUGAGGAAGGUGGGGAUGACGUCAAAUCAGCACGGCCCUUACGUCCGGGGCUACACACGUGUUACAAUGGGCGGUACAGAAGGCAGCUACCUGGCGACAGGAUGCCAAUCCCUAAAGCCGCUCUCAGUUCGGACUGGAGUCUGCAACCCGACUCCACGAAGCUGGAUUCGCUAGUAAUCGCGCAUCAGCCACGGCGCGGUGAAUACGUUCCCG